This 155-nucleotide non-coding RNA is filed under the name uncultured Prevotella sp. The record is from RNAcentral. Lineage: Bacteria; Pseudomonadati; Bacteroidota; Bacteroidia; Bacteroidales; Prevotellaceae.
UGAUUGGUUCACUCUACGUGAUUAAAAAGGGAAUGGGGUGAGAAUCCCCAACAGUCCGGCUGCUGUAAGUUGGCUUUAUCGGUGCGAACAGGAUGCCACUGCCUUGCGGGAAGGCGUUCGCAUACGGUCAACGAAGUCAGAAGACCUACCAUCAC